AGUGAACGCUGGCGGUAGGCCUAACACAUGCAAGUCGAACGGCAGCACAGUAAGAGCUUGCUCUUACGGGUGGCGAGUGGCGGACGGGUGAGGAAUAAAUCGGAAUCUACUUUUUCGUGGGGGAUAACGUAGGGAAACUUACGCUAAUACCGCAUACGACCUACGGGUGAAAGCAGGGGAUCUUCGGACCUUGCGCGAUUGAAUGAGCCGAUGUCGGAUUAGCUAGUUGGCGGGGUAAAGGCCCACCAAGGCGACGAUCCGUAGCUGGUCUGAGAGGAUGAUCAGCCACACUGGAACUGAGACACGGUCCAGGCUCCUACGGGAGGCAGCAGUGGGGAAUAUUGGACAAUGGGCGGAAGCCUGAUCCAGCCAUGCCGCGUGGGUGAAGAAGGCCUUCGGGUUGUAAAGCCCUUUUGUUGGGAAAGAAAAGCAGCAGGUUAAUACCCCGCUGUUCUGACGGUACCCAAAGAAUAAGCACCGGCUAACUUCGUG
This 492-nucleotide ribosomal RNA is filed under the name uncultured bacterium. RNAcentral describes it as "partial 16S ribosomal RNA". It matches the Rfam family "Bacterial small subunit ribosomal RNA", at positions 29 to 507 of the family's 1533-position model. The record is from RNAcentral.